This is a non-coding RNA of Salmo salar (Atlantic salmon), 793 nucleotides long. The record is from RefSeq and is a predicted model, not a curated record. NCBI's taxonomy places the organism in Eukaryota, Metazoa, Chordata, Actinopteri, Salmoniformes, Salmonidae.
UUGUAAAUGAGAGCUUGUUCUCAACUGGCCUACCUGGUUAAAUAAAGGUGAAAUAAAAAUUAAAAUGAGUAUGGACACGAGGACUAGGAGGGGAUCUGUAGCUCGCCGCUGUGUGCCAGGGAAGUCUGCUGCUCUGCAGGAUGUUUGAAGGAUGGAGUCCAACAACGCAGCAAGAGAGGCAAUCCGUGUGGGAGAUCUUCACCUCCUACUUCUUCGAAGAGGGUGUUCACUGAGGUCGUCUUGAGUGAUCGAGGUUGUGAACUCUGGAACAAGACUGGGCACCUGGCACCAUUUCCCAGUUCCUAUUCCAGUCCCCGACCUGGGUCCAGGCCUCCCAAGGUGUCCACACCCUACACAACAGAGAUCAGAGUCCACUGCUUCUGUCGGAAAUACGCGAGAAAAGAUGAAAUUCUGCAUCUAGUGACGUCUGAUUGCCCAACAAUCUGCCCACUCAUCCCAUCCCCUCAUCACAUCAUCUAAAGCUACUGUUAUUGUCAUGUUGUUAUUAUCUGCUAAUACAGUUUGCUAGCCUUAUCAUACUGGGCAUAUAAUAUGUGAGAUACACAGAUGAACUAAAAACACUAGCACUGCAAAGAGAACAAAGAGAGCAGCAGUGUCUGGACUUCACAGUUUCCCUCUUCAAGUCCCCCUUCCGAGACUGCCUGUUGAGAACAAGUGACAGGCAGAACCUCCCAACCACACAGCACCCACCUCCUUAUUCCACACACCAAAAUUAAGUAUUUCAUUCUGAUUGCCAUGCGAGUGUCCCAAAAAUAAUCUGUGAAAAUAAAUU